Molecule: long non-coding RNA, 2461 nt
Organism: Hypanus sabinus (Atlantic stingray)
Lineage: Eukaryota; Metazoa; Chordata; Chondrichthyes; Myliobatiformes; Dasyatidae
Exons: 3
Source: RefSeq, a predicted model, not a curated record
AGCGCUGGGUAGAGUAGAUGACAGCAUAUUAACACUGUCAUAUGUAUCAGGCUAAGCUAAAAUUUGACUUACAAAUAAGCCUCCUUCUGACACAAGUUCCCCAUUAUUAUGCCAUAUGGGUAGUCUCCUCAGUAUAUUAAAGGCGAUGCCUACCCUGACCAUCUGUACACAAAUCACCAUGAACCCAGCCUAUAUCAUUAAUUCCUCUGUGUUCUGAAUAGAGAAUUACCUUCUCAUGCCCCAGGGGGGAAAAAAAAGAAAGCCGAUCAUUCAACCCCAAAUUUUGUUCCUUCUUUUAACUUUCUGAUCUUUGACAAAACAUGAUGCAUCUUUAGCCUAAGUAUAGAUUUUACUUCCAGAAACUGACUUUGAGGUGUGCAAUACCUCGGAUGCAUUGUAGGUGAAAGAAUUUUUCUACUUUUUUUUAAAUUAAGGAAGUGUUUUGGACCCGGCUUUCAUUCAAAAGCUCUGUCUUUAUUUUAUUGCAGGAUGAACAUUCAGUGUGCCUGAUAAAUGGUGGGGAUACAAUUCUCAUUCAGGUGCAAUUUACAAAGGCAGACUGCAUAAGAUAAAUUUGACUUGCACACCAGUGUAAGCCUGUGAUCACCCUUCAUGGCAAUCAAUGUUGAAACAGAACACAAAAUGAGGGGCCAUGGAUUUCGGUUCCAGAAACAAAUGAAACAUGUGGUGAACUACAUAUACCUGUCUGGACACGCCCCCUGCUGACUGCUCCUGUGGCUCCUCCCACAGACCCCGGUAUAAAGGCAAUUGAGGCCUGAGCCCGGCCUCUCUGUCUCCAGGACGUAGUAUGGUGGUCAACUACUGCUUGUUCCUUCUUCCAGUCAAUACAAGCAGAUGUCUCGCCUUCACGUCUCAGAGAGAGUUAUUGAUGGUGCAUCAAAACACAUGGCAGGUCUCCUGCCAUCUGGAUUAUUUGGACAUGUGUUGUGAUAAACAAUUACCGGAUGAACAUUCAGUGUGCCUGAUAAAUGGUGGGGAUACAAUUCUCAUUCAGGUGCAAUUUACAAAGGCAGACUGCAUAAGAUAAAUUUCACUUGCACACCAGUGUAAGCCUGUGAUCACCCUUCAUGGCAAUCAAUGUUGAAACAGACCACAAAACGAGGGGCCAUGGAUUUCAGUUCCAGAAACAAGUAAGUCACUGUUCAAAAUGAAGCCCACUGCCUUUAUGCAGUUAUAAAUAUGACUGUGGGAUCAAGGAAUUUUAAAAUGUGACAACUUCCUUUUUCUCUCAAUUCUUUUUGUAAAUAUUAAUGCUUACUUUACAGAUGAAACAUGUGGUGAACUACAUAUACCUGUCUGGACACGCCCCCUGCUGACUACUCCUGUGGCUCCUCCCACAGACCCCGGUAUAAAGGCAAUUGAGGCCUGAGCCCGGCCUCUCUGUCUCCAGGAUGUAGUAUGGUGGUCAACUACUGCUUGUUCUUUCUUCCAGUCAAUACAAGCCGAUGUCUCGCCUUCACGUCUCAGAGAGAGUUAUUGAUGGUGCAUCAAAACACAUGGCAGGUCUCCUGCCAUCUGGAUUAUUUGGACAUGUGUUGUGAUAAACAAUUCGGCUCCAAAUUUGUUACAUUGCAAUUUCUAAGAGGUUAAUGAUCCUUUCCCACAUUAAUCUUAUCUUGUACAGACAAUCGACUGAGUUGUGAGAAAGUGCUUCAGGUAGAAGCCCAAAUGGUGAGAUUUUCUGAUACUGUACUCUUUCAAGGUGGCAUAUGACUAUGAGAUGUGAAACCUCUUAGAGCAGCAUUUCCAUCAUUUCAGUAUCUUCAAAAACAAAAAGAAGGCCCACCAGCGCCUUUACUUUCUGAGAAAGCUGAAGAAAUUUGGCCUGUCCCCUAAAACCCUCACUAAUUUUUAUAGGUGCACCGUAGAAAGCAUUCUUCUAGGGUGCAUCACAACCUGGUAUGGAAGUUGUCCUGUCCAAGACUUGAAGAAGCUGCAGAAGAUCAUGAACAUAGCCCAGCACAUCACACAAACCAAUCUUCCAUCCUUGGACUCACUUUACACUGCACGCUGUCGGAGCAGUGCUGCCAGGAUAAUCAAGGACACGACCCACCCAGCCAACACACUUUUUGUCCCUCUUCUCUCUGGGAGAAGGUUCAGGACCUUGAAGAUUCAUAUGGCCAGAUUUGGAAACAGCUUCUUUCCAACUGUGAUAAGACUGCUGAACGGAUCCUGACCCAGAUCUGGGCCGUACCUUCCAAAUAUCCGGACCUGACUUGCACUUCCUUACUUUCCCUUUUCUAAUUAUGAUUUAUAAUUUAAAUUUUUAUUAUAUUUACUUUGAUUUGUACUUCAGGGAGCACGAAGCACGGAAUCAAAUAUUGCUGUGAUGAUUGUACGCUCUAGUAUCAAUUGUUUGGUGACAAUAAAGUAAUUGUAAUAAAUCACCCAAGACAAUCCAAACUCUAGAACAUAAAGAUAUUGGAAAACAGGAACAGGC